CGUGAGGCCAAACUUGGCAUA
Molecule: non-coding RNA, 21 nt
Filed under: Arabidopsis thaliana (thale cress)
Lineage: Eukaryota; Viridiplantae; Streptophyta; Magnoliopsida; Brassicales; Brassicaceae
Source: RNAcentral